AACUACAGUGUUAAUCUCAAAGGUUAUUUUGCAUGGUCAUAUUUAGACAAUUUCGAAUGGAAUAUUGGUUAUACAUCAAGAUUUGGGUUGUACUAUGUAGACUACAAAAAUAACCUAACAAGAUACCCCAAGGAAUCGGCUCUUUGGUUCACAAAAUUCCUGAAUAUAUCGGUUAAUGCAAAUAAUAUCUAUGAGUUUCCAUCAAAGGAUUCAAGGAAGGUUGGCAAAUUCUACGUAAUGUAGAUAAUGUCUUUACUUUUUGUGUGUCCCUUGUAAUUAAAUAAUAUCAUUGGGCUACUGUAUACCACCAAUGAUCUGUCUUAUGUUGUGAUAAAGUUUUUGAUAUGUUGUAUUGUUAUCUUAUGUUUGAAAUAAAUAUUAUCCUUUUCUGUUUUGUUUUAAUUAAUUUUUCAUCUAUCGAUUCAGAAUAUGAGUAAUGUGUCCCUUAUAAAAGUUUUAGCCACUCCUUUUUAGGCCUGAUCCAAAUUUAAUAUGGUAUCAGAUUCUCCCCAUUGAUGUUGGGUCUCUCAUAAAUAUGUCACGCUCGAGUGUAAUCCUGAAUGUGAGAGUAUAUGUUGAAUCUCACAUCGGCUUAGAAUAGGGGUAAUGUGUUCUUUAUAAGAGACUUAGGCACUCCUUUUCUUGAGCUAAAAUUUUGAGACGAGUUAGAGAUAAUUCAAAUUUAACGGUUUUAAUUAAAUUUUUAAAUUAAUAUUGAAGAUAUUAAUUAUUUUUUCAAAAGAUUAAAUUAUAUCAUUUUAAAUAAUUAAAUUGAAUUUUUUUUCUUUAAGUCUUUACAUAAAUUAACAAUAUUAUUAUAUUAAUGGCAUUGUUAAUUUCAGAAAAUAACCUUACAAAAACUUCAUUUUUUUAAAUUUGAUUAUAAUACAGAACAUUGCCUAAAAUAAUAUUUUUAUAAUUCUUGCAAGAUAUAAGGAAAAAUUUUCAAUUAUCUCAUAGUAAUUGAGCGUGAAAUAUGUAAAUCAUUUCUCUUCCUAAUUCCAAGAUAAUUGUAAUAGUCGUUUCUUGCCAUGUCGUCUAUAUGGAAAAAAAAAAAUUGAGCAGUUUAACUUUUCAGAAGAUUAAGUUUCGAAAUAAAAUAUUAAUUUUUUUAUAGAAAAAUGUAAAUUUUGGUUUUAAAUAUUAGUAAAUUAAUCAAACACAUAAUAUUUACAUUAUUUUUAAAAAUUUAAUAAAUAGUUAACUUAUUAAAAUCAUAAUAAUAAUAUAUAAAUAUAUUAUAUAUAAAUUCAGGAGUAGAGCUUUUUAUUACUAUUUUUCAUUGGGAUACUCCUCAAGCACUACAAGACAAAUAUGGUGACUUUUUAAGCCGUGUGAUAUUGUGUAAGUAUAGAAUUUUAUUGUGAUUUCAAAAUAUUAAAAAUUUAGAAUUUCAUAUAAAUUUUGUUCAAAAAUAUUCUCACCUAAGUAUUAAAAUAUUUUAUUGAAUUAUUACAUGAAAUACAUGGAAGAUUAUCGCCAAUAUACAGAUCUUCUCUUUGAAAGAUUCGAUGAUCGAGUCAAACACUGGAUGACUUUUAAUGAACCAUCAGCAUAUGUUGGAUUUGCCCAUGAUGAUGGAGUUUUUGCUCUUGGUCGAUGCUCAUCUUGGGUAAAUCGCCAAUACCUAGCCAGAAACUCAGCCACAGAACCUUACAUAGUAUAUUAUUUAUAUGACAUUAUUUUUCUCCUAAAAAAGAUAUGCACUUAAAGAAAACCUUUGUGUACUUAACUAUGUAGGGAACUCAAAAGGGCAAGAUUGGAAUUACUCUCUUUACCUUUUGGUAUGAACCUCUCUCCAACAGUGCAGUUGAUAUACAAGCAGCCAAAACCGCUAUAGAUUUCAUGUUUGGAUUGUGAGUCUUUCUUCCAAAUUGAGCUAUUAAUUAAAUAUUUAACAUAUACACAAGUCUUUAAUUAAACACAACAUUCUUUUCAUAAUUCCAUAUGGAUGGAUCCUAUGACUUAUGGGCGAUAUCCAAGAACUAUGAGAAAUUUAGUUGGAGAUAGAUUGAUUGAGUUUACAGAUGAAGAAUCUCAAAUCUCAAUUACUUAGAGAAUCAUAUGAUUUUAUUGAAUUACAAUACUACACUGCAUAUUAUGCAAAACCAAAUAUUACCGUUGAUCCAAAUUAUCAUAGAUAUAAAACUAGUAGUGGCGUUAUUGAGACUUGUAAGUUUACAUAUAAAAUAAUUCAUCAAAGGUGGAAUAGAUUGUGUAUAUAUAUGUUUUUCUUUCUUAAUAAAGUUUAACUGAUAAUAUAGUAUAUUUUUUCUUUGCUACAGCUUACGAUAAUAAUGGUAAUCUUAUUGGUCCAAAGAUUAGUAUACAAGAAAAUAAUUUGAUAAAAAUCUAACAAACUAUGUGAAUAAUAUCAUUGACAUACAAAUUAAAAAUUUGCAGGCUUACUCGCCUUGGUUUUAUAUUUUUCCAAAAGGUAUUCAGCACUUUUUGAUCUAUUCCCAAGAUACAUAUAAUGAUCUAGUAAUUUACAUUACUGAGAAUGGUAAGUUUUUUUUAAAAAAUAAAAAUGUUUUGUUCAUAGAAAAGUAAAUUGAGAUUAUAUUUUUGAUCUAAUUCUGAAGUUUUUUAUACACUAAUUUAGGGGUUGACAACUUCAAUAAUGAAACUCAACCGAUUGAGAAGCACUUCAAGAUAGACUACUAUCGAAAGUAUUUGUGGAAUGCAUUAGGAUCUCUCAAGUGAGUCCAAACUCUAUGACCCAUACUAAUUAUUAGAGAUUUGCGAGAACUAUUUUUAAUUUAUUUUCAAAUGAUUAUUGAUUUUUAUAGGGAAUACAAUGUUAAUAUCAAAGGUUAUUUUGCAUUGUCAUAUUUAGACAACUUCGAGUGGAAUAUUGGUUAUACAUCAGGAUUUAGUUUGUAUAAUGUAGACUGCAAAGAUAACCUAAAAAGAUACCUCAAGAAAUCGGCUCUUUGGUUCACAACAUUCCUGAAUAUUGGUUGAGUUGAUAGCUUCUAGGUUAGAGUGUUCUCUCGGGGUCAGUGGACCCGAGUGUGAUCCAUCUGUGGCAGAGUCAGUCUGCCGGUACAGUUCAGUGUCAAUUGAGAGUAGAUGCCUUCCACCCGACCUUGAGGUCCUAGACUUGACUGUCUGGACGUCAUUAUAGGGAUGGAUUGAUUUUUCUACUCGUAGUACUACCUGUGUCUACAGAGACAAGGUAGGAGAGUUUAGAGUUCUGGAUGGAUCAGAGUUUGUCUGUUGAGAGGACACAGUAGGGAUGCCUAGAGGUUCAUUAUCGGCCUUUCAGACUCGUAGGGUGCGUAGGAGGGGUUGUCAGAGGGUUCUAGCUCUUGUUUGAGAGUUUAGCAGUCGGGUCAGAGAACCAGCCUCAAUGCCAGUUGUUAGAGAGAGUCUUAGAUGUCUUCCUAGACAAGUUGUCGGGUUUACCACCUGAUAGGGGAUAGAGUUUGGAAUAGGAGUGGUGUCUGGACCCAGAACCAUUUAUAUCCUUCCCUACAGGAUGGCACCUGCAGAGUUGAGGUAGUAGUAAGAGUAAUGUCGAGACUUGGUAGAGAAGGGUUUUAUCCGACCUAGUACCUCGCCCUGGAGUGUUCCAGUAUUGUUGUGGAAAACGAAGGAUGGAUCCUUGAGACUUUGUAACGACUGUAAGCAAUUGACAAGGUCACUACCAAGGGCAGGUGUUGCCACUCAGGAUUGAUGAUCUAUUGGAUCAGCUAGCAGGAGCUGGUUGUGUUCCUAGAGAGAUCUGAAAUCCGGGUACUCCCUGUUGAGGGUUUGAGAAGAAGUCAGUCUAGUAGAGAAGAAGAGAGAAGAGAAAGGAUCAGAGUGCGCAGUAGAAGCUGGUGGAGUUCAAGAGUAGGUUGGGGUAUUGCGUAAGGUGAAUCCAUUCGGAUUUCCAUGUUCCUAUGUUAUGGAAGUUCGUGUCAGAUCCAAGUGAGGUUCUUAAAGAACCAAAGGUGGAGAUCUUGGAGGGUCUCACCUAUGUUGAGCAGUCAGUGGGGAUCAUUGACACACAAGUCAGAAAGAGAAGGAACAAGGAAAUUCCGAUGGUGAAAGUUCCUUGGAAUCGCCAGUGUGGGCGAGUGCGCUUGGGAGAACCGGGAGUUCAUACUCUAGCGGUACCUGUGUCUCUCUUUUAGGAGGGAGGUUUUUAAGUUUUGCUUGCUUGUCUGCUUGCUUGCUUAUGUAUGCUUGAUGCUAUGUUUUGAGUUUGCCUGUUUGUUUGAACAUUCGGGGACAAAUGUUCUUAAAGGGGGGAAGAAUGUAAUACCCGGCUAGAUUUCGGCAUCGGAAUCCCUACCUUCCGGCGGAAUCUCCGUUGGAAUCUGGAAUUCUAAAGAUGUCAGAGUCUUCUAGAGGGGUAAAAUGUAUUUUUAAUAUGUUUUCACAUGAUUUUAUGAUUUUAAAUGGAAAAGAAAUUGAGUUUUGAAGAGAAUAGGCCAAGGAGGCAUUUGCCAAGUUCAGCCGCCGAAAGUGAAGUUCGGCAGCCGAACAUGGGGCUGUUUCGGGAGUGCUUUAGGCUUCCGAAAGCUUUGAGUAAAGUAAGCCAUGUUCGGCCGCCGAAAGUCAGGUUCGGCCGCCGAACAUGGGAUUGUUCGGGGGCAUGUUAGGGGGCACGUUAGGCUGCCGAAGGUGGUGGAGUUGCGGGAGCAACUUAGGCCGCCGAAGGUGGUUGACCAGGCCACCUAUAAAAGGCUCUCAGCCCGAAAAUGGGCGAGUUUUCUCCCCGUUCUCGAGCUCAGGUGAGUUCUUGCCUUCUUUGGUUCACUUCAUGUUCCUUCUUAAAUCUUCCAAGGUUUUUAUGAGAGUUUUGUGGCUUUAAAGAGUUUUAAAGCUUGGAUCAAGUUUUGGGAGCUUGGAGACCCAAGGAGUUGUUUCCUCCCAUCUCUAAGUUAGGGAUCGCACCAACCCUCGAUCUUCAAGAGGUAAGUGUAAAUCCUUGUUUCCCUUUGUGUUUAAUGAAGUUUUAAGUAAGUUUAAGGAAGUUUUGAGGCAUGAAUAUGGGUAGAUAUGCAUGUUAAGGUUUAUGUGGGUUUUAUGCUCAUUGUAUGUUUAUGCAUGUUUAUGUGAUGAUAUGUUGAAGGUUUAGGCUAGUUUAUGCUUGUGGGAGUGUGUAUGCAUGUUUGGGGGAGAGCAUGUGAGGUUUUGGGUGGUUUUGGAAGGUUUGGAGGCUGUUGUGCAUGUGAAGGCUGAGUUCUACCCUUCUGGGAAGAACUCAGGUUCAGCCGCCGAACCUGCCUGUGGUAGCUUGUUUUGGCUGCCGAACCCUGCCUCCGAAAGUUGGACUUUCGGCUCUGGAGGGGAGUUUCGGCCGCCGAAGGUGCCGCCAAACAUGCAUGAGUUUCCUCUCUGAAGAGGAGUUUCGGCCGCCGAACUUGCCGUCGAACCUGCAUAGCUUUUGGCUCUGGAAGGCACAUUCGGCCCCGAAAGUGCCCUGUCCAGCCCUUUCUUGGGUGUUUUCUAUGCAUGCUUUUAUGAUGUUUUAGGGGGUUUUUGGGGAGUUGCUUAUGAGUUAUUUAGAGUGUGUUUGGCACCUCAUUCGAGUCCACCUAUGUAGGAUCGGACCCGAGGGACCGAGGAGGCCAUUAGUGUUAGCUGUUGCAGAGUCAGUCCAGCGUCUGCCAGAGGUGAGUAGAACUAACUCAAAUAUUUUUAACAUGUUUCACGCAUCAUGAAUACCAUGUUUAUGUAGUAGGUUGCUUGCAUUAAAAAUCAUGAAUAUGCUGCAUUGCAUUAUUUACUGUUGAUGUGGAUGGACCAAGGCGACCCCAAUAGCCCAAGAUCUGUCAUAUAUUGAAAGUCCUGUGUGAGCUCCUUCGGGGGCCGAGCACCAUGUUGAAAGUCCUGUGUGAGCUCCUUCGGGGGCCGGGCACCGACAGAGGGAGUUUUGGAGGUUAUGUCCAUAUGUGAUGUGAAAUGUUUGUGCUGUGACGCAUUCCAUGAUAGCAUGUUUUAGUAUAUUAUGCACUGUUUCUACUCACUGGGCUUUUUAGCUCACCCCUUUCCCCUAAACCCCAGGUUUGCAGGUAUGAGGUCGAUCGAGAAGUCAGCAAGGGCUUAUGUUUUGCUUAUGUAAUAGCUUAGAAUGUUGUGUGGACAUGUAAUGUAAAUUGAUAUAAUGUAUUGCAAGAUAAUGUGAUGUAAUGUAACUUAAAGUAGAGUUAUGUUCAUGGAUUAGUACUGUGCUUGGCCCUAAGACUUGGUUAGUCCCCUUUUAGUACAUGAUGUAUGUAAAGUUUUAAUGUUGAGUUGUUUGUGAACUAAACUUGUGGCAUGUGAUGUUUACCACGCUAGAGUAUUUGAUGAGGACUCUAGUGGAGGUUUUAUGUUUAUGGCUUUGAUGCAUGCACAGGUUAGGUUUUGGUUCAUUGGAUGUAAUUCAAGCUUGAUGUAUGUUAUGUUGACCCAGCUAGAGCAUUGAUGAGGGCUCUAGUAUGGGGUUCCUUUAUGUUUCCAGUUAUGUAACAUACAGGUCACAAUCGGUAUUUACAUCAGGUGUUUAAGUUUUUAUGUUAAUGUUUUGAUCAUGUAUGGGAUUUGACCAGGUGAUAGGAGGUAUGUUAGGCUUGCUAUGGGUCUCGGCGGCCUUAAGCCGAUCUGGAUCCUAGCGCCGGUAGCGGUCCGGAUUCCGGGUCGUUACAGUCUAAAUCUGCUGUAAAAUUUAAAACUAGUUGCUCCGUGUCAUAGAGUUUUUCUUCAAUAGGUUUUUAUUUAUUUGACCCUUAAAAAUACACGUUGCUUUGUUAUGUUCUCCUUUAGUUCUGAAGCCUUAAGCUUAGUUGAUGUAUUGUAAUGCUUUUAUUCAUUUAAUGAAAUAUUAUCUUUAAUAAAAAAAAAAAACACUUUAUCAAGGAAACUUUUAUUUCUCUCUAAAAAUGCCAAAAAUAAGAAUAGAAAGUGUUUAAUGUUCGCCGAGUACAUAUUGAAAUAUUUCCUUUUUAUGGGAAAUGUUGUCACUUAAUUUAGAAAAUUAGGUGAGAGAUGACAUUCGAUUAUGUGAUAUGAGCACUGCACACCACUUUUAUCACUUUUAAUACUAAGCCUUUUAUUAGAAAAAAAAAAAAAAAAAUCUUUAACUAUCUAAUAAUAGAACUAAAAAGCAACUUUAUUCGCGAUUAAUAAAAUAAAUAUAAAAAAUUAAAAAUAUUCUCGAAUUAACGACUAUAUAUAUAUUUUUUUAUUAACAAUUUUACUUAUGUUUUUUAAAAUAAAUAAUUUAUUAAUUUUUCACAUGAUCGAUGUAUUUAUAUUUAAUUAUUAUGAAUUUAGUAAGUUAACUAUUGAUUAAAAUUUAAAAAUUAAUAUUAGAUAUUAUGUGUUUGAUAAUUUUACUAAUAUUUGAAGCCAAAAUAUUUACAUUAUUUUGAAAAAGAAAAUUAAUAUUUCAUUUCGAAAAGUAAAUACUUAAAUUCUGAAUAGUUAAACUGCUUUUUCUAAUUUAUUUUUUCAUGGAUAGUAACAUGUCUACGAAUAAGUAAUAUUCGGUUCAAAUCGAAAAAAUCGAUCGUAUCGAAUUAAUUUAAAAAUUCAAUUUGAUUUUUUUUAUUUAUUUCAGUUCGGUUCGGUUUUUAAUUUUAAAAAUUUUUGUUAUUUCAAUUCGAUUCGAUUUUGAUCAGAAAAAAUUGAAAAAGCCAAACCGAACCGAUUAGUGAUAAUAAUAUAUUGUUUUUAAUAAUAUAGAGAAAUUAGAACAUAUUAAAAUUAAAAUAUUUUAAUUAAAUUUUAAAAUAUUAAAAAUAAAGUAUAAAAAAUAAAAAAAUUUAUUAGAUAUUGAAACUGAUCAAAACGAAUCGAAUUAACUAAAUCAGAUCGGUUCAGUUCAAUUUAAUUUCUGAUAAAAAUCAAUUCGAUUCUAUUUUUAUAAAUAUUAAAAUUUCAGUUUUCAAUUUAUUUGAUUCAGUUCGAUUUUAAAUCGAACCGAGCAAAUGCUCGCCUCUAAAGACAAGCAACGACUAUCACAGUUACCUUGGAAUUAGGAAGAGAAAUGAUUUACAUAUUCUACGCUCAAUUACUAUGAGAUAAUUUUUUUUUUUUAGAUGUGGAAAUUAUUUGAAAUAUAGUCGAAUUUCUUGAUACUCAUAUUAAAACUAUUUUAAAUUAAAAAUUUUAAAUUGAUAAUUUAAGGCCCACAAUUUAUUUAAGUUAUUUGAAUUUGAAAAGUUAUAAUAAAUAGAUAAAUGGAUACCCUCAAACAAUUUUUUUCCUUGUAUCUCAAAAGAAUUAUAAAAAAUUAUUUUGGGUAAUGUUCUGUAUUAUAAUUAAAUUAAAAAAAUGAAAUUUUUGUAAGAUUAUUUUCUAUAAAAAUGCCAUUAAUAUAAUAUUAUUGUUAAUUUAUUUAAAAACUUAAUAAAAAAAUACUCAAUUUAAUGAUUUAAAAUGAUACAAUUUAAUCUGUUGAAAUAUUUAUCACUUACGCUCCGUCUAUUCCUGUAAAUUUUAUAGGAAUUUUUUUUUUUUUUUACAUUUUUUCGGCUUUAAAAUAUUUUAAAAAAUUAAUUAAUAAAAAUAUUUUUUAAUUAAAAAAUUAAAUUAUUUUUAAAAUACAAUAAGGUUUAAAAUAUUUAUAAAAAAGAAUAUUAUUAAAAUUAAAGUAAGUUCCUUCUGUCUCACAUUGUAGUCCUACUUUUUUCAAUAAUACAAUAAGGUUUGUUCGUAUUAGACAACUUUCUUACUUUACAUAAUCAUAUCUAUUUUUAGAUUUUUAAACUUUUAGACAAUUUUUUAGAAUUAAUUUUGACUUUCAUAAUAAUUAUAUAUAUAUAUAUUAUCAAAAUAUAUUUUUAAAUAUAGAAUUGUGGGGAGAUAUUUUUGAAUAUAUCAUUUCAAUAUUGUGCCCUUUAUUUUUUCUUUUUAAACGAGGAUUGAGAAUCGAAGAAUAGAAUAUAAAAUUUUUCCGAUUUAUUCAGAUACACUUAUUAUCAAAUUAAAUUUAUGAGUGAUACCCUUUAGUUAGUAUCUCUUCGUAUUGUAUUGUAGAGUGAUAUUCUUUCAUACUAAAAAUUAAUUUCUCUUAAUUUUUAACUACUAAUUUUAAUAAUAUUUUCUUUUUUUAAAAAAUUACAUACUUUAUAAUUUUAAUUAAUACUUUACCGUAUAAUCACAAUAUAAUAUAGAGUAAUUAUAAAAAAUAUAGACUUAAAUUAUUUAUUUUUUUACAAUUAUCUCAAAAUAAAAAUUGAAGUAUUACUUUUUUUUAAUGACAGUAUCUGAUAUCGUAAUUAAUGAAGAUUACAAUUUUUUUGUCAAUAAUUAAUGAAUUGUACCUUUGGAGAUUGACAGACAUACAUGUUUAAUGCUUGGUUUGUGAAUAUGGAAAUGUUUCCUUUUUAUAAGAAAAUGUUCAAACUUAAUUUAGAAAGUCCAGUGAGAGGAUCAGAACAGUUGUAAGCAGACAGAAAAGCUAUGCAGACGUCCGUAGGAAGCAGAUAGAGUUCCAGGAGGGAGAUAUGGUAUUGCUGAAGGUGUCUCCAAUGAAGGGAGUGGUUCACUUUGAAAGGAAGGGUAAGCUAGCUCCACGAUACAUUGGUCCCUUUGAAAUUUUGCAGAAGAUCGGAAAUGUGUCGUACAAGCUAGAUUUACCUGCCUCUAUGGAAAGAAUCCAUCCGGUUUUCCAUGUUUCUAUGCUACGGAAGUUUGUGUCAGAUCCGGAAAAGGUUCUCAGUGAACCUGAGAUAGAGAUUCUAGGAGAUCUCUCCUAUGUAGAGCAGCCAGUGCGGAUCAUGGACACCCAGAUCAGAAAGUUACGAAACAAGGAGAUUCCGAUGGUAAAAGUUCUGUGGAACCACCACAAUCUAGAGGAGUGCACCUGGGAGACACGGGAGUCUAUGCUCCAGCAAUAUCCGUAUCUGUUUUGAGGUUAGUUAGUUUUCCCUCUCUAUGUGUUUUUGUGCUUCAAUGUUUGAGGACAUUCGGGGACGAAUGUUCUUAAGGGGGAGAGAAUGUAAUACCCGGCUUGAGGCCGGCAUCGGAAUUCCUAUCGUCCGGUGGAAGUUCUGAUGUCGGAAGGCUCUAGCAGGGUUUGGGUUAUGUUUUGCUAUGUUUUAAAGAGGUUUUAAUGUUUUAAAGUGUAAAGGAAAUGAGUUUUUGAAAGAAAAGCACCAAGGGAGAAAUGCCAAGGUUCGGCCGCCGAACAUGCAUGGCUUUCGGGUUCACGUUUGGCCGCCGAAGGUGGUCUGGCCAGCCACCUAUAAAAGGCCCUAGGUCGGUCAAAUGGAUAAGAUUUUCUUUCCAUUUGCACGAGCUGAGGUGAGACUUGAGCUUCCUUGAGUGAUUCAUGUGUUUUCUCAAAGUUUUCAUGGUUUUGAUAGAUUUUCAUGUGUUUUUGAAGUGCUUGAGCAAAAGAGCAAAGUUUGGAAGCUUGGAGACGUUGAGAGAGGAUUUCUCCAUAUCUCCACGUUAGGAUCGUUUAUUAUCUUGUUUGGAAGAGGUAAGUGAAGAUCCUGACCUUCCUUUCCUGAGUUUUGAAGGUUUUAUGGGAGUUGUAUGGGUAGUUAUGCAUGGUUAGGGUAAGGGAGGUUUUUGAUGAUUUUGUGUCUAAGCAUGUUUACAUGUUGUGUGAGAUGUUUGUUUGAGGUUUUAGGCUAGUUUUGGACCUCUUUAUGCAUGUUAUAUGGUAUAUGCUAGUUGGGAGUAGUUGAUAUGCAUGUUGGGUAAGUUUUGGAUAAAGUUUUCAUGAAACAGAGCAGGUUUCUGCCCAACGGGCAAAACCAGGUUCGGCCACUGAACCCCUUGUGGAGGCAGUUUCGGCUGCUAAAGCUUGCCUCCGAACUUUGGGACUUUCGUCUCUGGACGCAAGGUUCGGCCGCCGAAGGUUAGAGACUUUCGUCUCUGGAGGGUCUUUCAGCCCCCGAACCUUGCUCCCGAAAGGGUUCGGCCGCCGAAAGAAGGAGUUCGGCCGCCGAAGGUGCUUGAGUUUCGUCUCUGGAUGAGACUUUCGGCCGCCGAACCUGCCGCCGAAAGUGCCUUGUUCAGCUUUCUUUUGCAUGUUUUAUGUGAUUGUUAUGUGUUUGUUUUAGGAUCUUUUAGAGGGCUUUGGGGGAGUUUCUUAGAGAUGUUCUUGAGUUAGUUUGGUCCCUCAUUUGAGUCCACCUGUAUAGGAACGGACCAGAAGAAUCAGGGAGGUCAGCAGUGAGCACUGCUUCAGAACCUGCAGAGUCAGUUCAGAGUCAGCCAGAGGUGAGUGGAACUAAACUUAAUCUGUUAACGAUGAGAACAUAAAUGCUUUUAGCAUGUUUCAUGCAUUAUGAUGAUUAUAUAGGUUGAUUGCACUAAUUUCACGAAUAUGGUGCAUUGCAUUAUAUGAUGAAUAUGAUGAUAUGGAUGGACCAAGGCGACCCCAAUAGCCCUAGCUCUGUUGUAAGACCUGGCUGGGCCAGGCAGCCAUCUGUUGUCAGACCUGGCUAGGCCAGGCAGACAGAGAUUGUAAGACUUGGCUGGGCCAGGCAGGCAGAGAUUGUAAGACCUGGCCGGGCCAGGCAUACUCAGGUUAUAAGACCUGGCCGGGCCAGGCAUCCUGUCAUGGAAGGGAGUUUUGGUGUCAUGUUCAUCCGUGAUAUGAAAUGUUUGUGCUGUGAUGCAUACCAUGAGACCAUGUUUUACUCACACGUUUUAUAGUUCUGCUCAUUGGGCUUGUAUAGCUCAUCCCUCUCCCUUAACCCCAGUCUUGCAGGUUCAGAGUCCAGAGGGAGUCCAGCAGGGUAUGGAAGGAGAAGAGUUAUGUAAUAGCUAGUGUGGACAUGUACUUGUAACAGUGUGGACAUGUACUUGUAAAGAGAUAGUAAUUGUGUAAUCAGAUGUAUAGUAUUGUGCUUGACCAUUUGUAGUAAUCCCUCUUUGUAUAUACAUGGUCUGUUUAUGUAAAUGUUUUACAUUAUAUAUUUGAAAGACCAGGCUUAACACAGUAUGCGUUUAGCCCACCUAGAGCAAAGAUGAGAGCUCUAGUAGGGGUUUACAGUAUAGAGAUGAUGUAUGCACAGGUUAAGCCUUGGAACAGAGAAAAGUUUUACGUUUUACAGAAAAUGUAUGAUCAUGUAUGGGAUUUCACAGGUACACAGAGUUCACAGUAGGUUUGCUACGGGUCCCGACGGCCUUAAGUCGAUAUGGAUCCUAGCGCCGGUAGCAGUUCGGUUUUCGGGCUGUUACACCUGCAACCUCAAAAACUCCUCGGUAUAUUCAUCCACCCUUCGGUUCCCCUGUACAUAGUCAUGAUACCGGUUAUACAAAACUUGAGUAUGAUCGCUAGGCAAGAACCGUUGUUCAAUCAUCUGCUUCAUCAACACCCAGUUUCGUAUGGGUUCCAGCCUCCUCUGAUAGCGUUCGUUUUGAAUCGAAUUCCACCAGACUGUUGCACCCCUUUUUAAAUUAUAGGCCACCAUCGAAGCCUUGCGAUCCUCUUCCACGUUCAUAACUUCAAAAAAACAUUCAACCUCUGCCAGCCAAUCAAGAAUAGAUUCCACAUCCAACGAAUCAAAAAAGUUUUGAAGGUCUAUCUUGAUCUUGUAACCUUCCUAACAAUUCUGUUGGAGAUUUGCAGGUACAGGAUUGGCGAUUGGCUGGGGGUGUGCGGCGGUGGGUUGGUGGAUUCCCUACUGUAGGGUCAGUUGUCCGAUCAUCUCCCUGAAUUCUGUCAAAGAUGCCUCAAUCGCAGCAAGUCAUGCCUCUUAGUUAUCUGCCAUGGUCGAACUUUACUCUGAUAUCAAUCUGAUAAAGGACUAAUUAGACUCUAUCAAGAGUUUUAACCAAUAUCGUUUGACUAAGACGAUAUAAGAGAAAAGAUAGGCUGAAAGACGAACAGUUUUAUUGAAAUUUUUCAAAAAUUGAAAAGUGAGUUUCUAAUAACCAAGAAAUGCUAUUUAUAAUAGAAAAAAAAACUCUAAUAUGCAAAAUUAUAAAAAUAUUCAAAAAAAAAUAAUUAAAAUGCAAAAUUGACCCCUAAAUGAAUGAAUUUUCAUAUCGAAUUUUGUGACAAGUCUAUGGCGCUCGUCACACUUUUGAAAAUCGUGCGUCCCAAAAUUUUUUUUUUAAAAAAAUUAUCGUGGGUCUCUAUCAGACGUCGGCAGCAAAAAUUAGGAUCGGUUCAAAUCUGCUAUAAAGUCUAAAAUUAGUUGUUCUGUGUCAUGGAGUUUUUCCUCAAUAGGUUUUUAUUUAUUUGACCCUUAAAGAUACAUGUUGCUUUGUUAUGUUCUCCUUUAGUUCUUAAGCCUUAAGCUUAGUUGAUGUAUUGUAAUGCUUUUAUUCAUUUAAUGAAAUAUUAUAUUUAAUAAAAAAAAACACUUUAUCAAGGAAACUUUUAUUUCUCCCUCUAAAAAUGCCAAAAAUAAGAAUAGAAAGUGUUUAAUGUUCGCCGAGUACAUAUUGAAAUGUUUCCUUUUUAUGGAAAAUGUUGUCACUUAAUUUAGAAAAUUAGGUGAGAGAUGACAUUCGAUUAUGUGAUAUGAGCACUGCACACCACUUUUAUCACUUUUAAUACUAAGCCUUUUAUUAAAAAAAAAAAAAAAAUCUUUAACUAUUUAAUAAUAGAACUAAAAAGCAACUUUAUUCACGAUUAAUAAAAUAAAUAUAAAAAAUUAAAAAUAUUCUCGAACUAACGACUAUAUUUUUUUUUUUAUUAACACUUUUACUUAUGUUUUUUAAAAUAAAUAAUUUAUUAAUUUUUUACAUGAUCGAUGUAUUUAUAUUUAAUUAUUAUGAAUUUAGUAAGUUAACUAUUGAUUAAAAUUUAAAAAAUAAUAUUAGAUAUUAUGUGUUUGAUAAUUUUACUAAUAUUUGAAGCCAAAAGUUUUACAUUAUUUUUAAAAAAAAAAUUAAUAUUUCAUUUCGAAAAGUAAAUACUUAAUAUUCUGCAUAGUUAAACUGCUUUUUUUAAUUUCAUUUUUCCAUGGACGGUAAUAGGGCUAGGAUAAGUAGUAUUCGGUUCAAAUCGAAAAAAUUGAUUUAAUUGAAUUAAUUUGAAAUUUUAAUUUGAUUUUUUUAUUUAUUUCAGUUCGAUUCGAUUUUUAAUUUUAAAAAUUUUUGUUAUUUCAGUUCAGUUCGAUUUUAAUCAGAAAAAUUAAAAAAGCCAAACCGAACCGAUUAAUGAUAAUAAUAUAUUAUUUUUAAUAAUAUAGAGAAAUUAGAAUAUAUUAAAAUUAAAAUAUUUUAAUUAAAUUUUAAAAUAUUAAAAAUAAAGUGGUAAAAAUAAAAAAUUUAUUAGAUAUUGAAACCGAUCAAAACGAAUCGAAUUAACUAAAUCAGACCGGUUCGAUUCAAUUUAAUUUCUGAUCAAAAUCGAUUCGAUUUGAUUUUUAUAAAUACUAAAAUUUUAAUUUUCAAUUUAAUCGAUUUAAUUCAGUUUUAAAUCGAACCGAUCGAAUGUUCGCUUCUAAAUAUGAAUUUUAAAUCGAACCGAUCGAAUGCUCGCCUCUAAAUAAUGCAAGCACCGACUAUCACAGUUAUUUUGAAAUUAGGAAGAGAAAUGAUUUACAUAUUCUACGCUCAAUUACUAUGAGAUAUUUUUUUUUUUUUAGAUGUGGAAAUUAUUUGAAAUAUAAUCGAAAUUCUCUGUGAUACUCAUAUUAAAACUAUUUUAAAUUAAAAAUUUUAAAUUGAUAAUUUAAGGCCUACAAUUUAUUUAAGUCAUUUGAAUUUGAAAAGUUAUAAUAAAUAGAUAAAUGGAUACCCUCAAACAAUUUUUUUCCUUGUAUCUCAAAAGAAUUAUAAAAAAUUAUUUUGGGUAAUGUUCUGUAUUAUAAUUAAAUUAAAAAAAUGAAAUUUUUGUAAGAUUAUUUUCUAUAAAAAUUCCAUUAAUAUAAUAUUAUUGUUAAUUUAUUUAAAAACUUAAUAAAAAAAAUACUCAAUUUAAUGAUUUAAAAUGAUACAAUUUAAUCUGUUGAAAUAUUUAUCACUUACGCUCCGUCUAUACCUGUAAAUUUUAUAGGAAAAUUUUUUUUUUUUUUUGACAUUUUUUCGGCUUUAAAAUAUUUUAAAAAAUUAAUUAAUAAAAAUAUUUUUUAAUUAAAAAAUUAAAUUAUUUGUAAAAUACAAUAAGGUUUAAAAUAUUUAUAAAAAAGAAUAUUAUUAAAAUUAAAGUAAGUUCCUUCUGUCUCACAUUGUAGUCCAACUUUUUUCAAUAAUACAAUAAGGUUUGUUCGUAUUAGACAACUUUCUUACUUGACAUAAUCAUAUCUAUUUUUAGAUUUUUAAACUUUUAGACAAUUUUUUAGAAUUAAUUUUGACUUUCAUAAUAAUUAUAUAUAUAUAUAUAUAUAUAUUAUCAAAAUAUAUUUUUAAAUAUAGAAUUGUGGGGAGAUAUUUUUGAAUAUAUUAUUUUAAUAUUGUGCCCUUUAUUUUUUCUUUUUAAACGAAGAUUGAGAAUCGGAGGAUAGAAAUAAAAUUUCUUCGAUUUAUUCAGAUACACUUAUCAUCAAAUUAAAUUUAUGAGUGAUACCCUUUAAUUAGCAUCUCUUCGUAUUGUAUAGUGAUAUUUUUUCAUACUGAAAAUUAAUUUCUCUUAAUUUUUAACUACUAAUUUUAAUAAUAUUUUCUUUUUUUAAAAAAUUACAUACUUUAUAAUUUUAAUUAAUACUUUACCGUAUAAUUACAAUAUAAUAUAGAGUAAUUAUAAAAAAAUAUAGACUUAAAUUAUGUAUUUUUUUACAAUUAUCUCAAAAUAAAAAUUGAAGUAUUACUUUUUUUUAAUGACAGUAUCUGAUAUCGUCAGUAAUGAAGAUUACAAUUUUUUUUGUCAAUAAUUAAUGAAUUGUACCUUUGGAGAUUGAGAGACAUACAUGUUUAAUGCUUGGUUUGUGAAUAUGGGAAUGUUUCCUUUUUAUAAGAAAAUGUGGAAAAUAUUCUAACUUAAUUUAGAAAGUCCAGUGAGAGAUGGGCUGAAAUUGUGGGAUGUGAGCACUGUACACCGCUUUUGUCAUUUUCACUACUAAAAUUAAACGUUGCUGAUACAAUUAAUUAAGAAAAACAAAGAAAAUCUUAACUAUCUAAACAAUUGAUCUUUUUUUUUUUAAAAAAAGCAACUUUAUCUAUAACUAAUAAAAUAAAUAUAAAAUUAUUACUUAAUUUUUAUAAUAUAAAAAAUUUAUUUGCGAGCCUAUAUAAAAAAUUUAAGUGAAUUAGAUUUAAUAAUUUAAAAUUUAAGAGAACAUAAAUUACAUAUGACUAUAUAAAAAAUUAAAAAAUUAAAGUUUAACAUCAAAAUUUUAAGUUGCUAAUAAAUAAAUAAAAUUUAUUUCCUAUGAUCCAUAUAAAAAGCAAAAAAAUUUUGUGAUUUCAUAUCUUAAUUAAUUGUUUAACCAAAUUAAACCAUUAUAUUAGUUUCUUAUUUGGUUUACUCUUAGAUUAUAGUAUAUACUUUAUUUUUAUUUUAAAUGUAAUAUACUAUAAUUCUUAAUAAUAGAUAAAAUUAAAAUUUUAUUAGUUUUAAUUAUUUUAAUUUUUAAGCAAUUCUAAAGGAAAUAUUUUUAAUUCAUUUUUUUUAAAAAAUAAUGUUACAUAACAUAUUAAAAUCAUUGUUCUAAUUUUUGUUUCAUAAGGAGACAAAAAAACAUUUUUUUAUCUUUUAAUCAAUUAUUAUACAAAUCAAUUUAAAAGAAAAUUAGUGUUUUCAAUUUAUUUUUAAAAAAUAUUUAAUAUUAUAUUACAUAUCAAAAUCAUUAUUUUCUUAAGUAUGAGCAUAAAUAAAGUUAAUCGGAUCAACUUUAAUUCAUUAAAUUUUUUUCAAGUUCGAUCUCACUCAUUUCAAAUUCGAAUAAAAUAUUAAUCAUUAUUUCAAAUUCGAAUAGAAUAUUAAUAAAUUCAAAUUUAAUUCAUUUAAUAAGUGAGCUAGCUGAGCCAAAAUUUUAAACACUCUAAUCAUGAAUUAUUCACAAAUAAUUUAAUUUAUUUUCGAUUAUAAUAAAUUUUAAUUUAAUUAAUAAAUUUAAAAUUAAAUAAUUUAAUUAAAUAAAUAUACAUACAAAAUCAAUUUAUAAAAUUAAAAAAAAAUAACUCAUAAACUUUAAUUAGUCGAAUUUUCGCUAGUCCUAAAAGUGCAGUAGAACUAAGCAAAACUAGAAGGAUAAGGCUUAACCCAUAAAGUUUAUGAAGACUUGAGUUUGAGCUUAAUUCUUUUAUGACAUUGAGUUCAAUCUAUUUAAUAAAUUUGUUCACGAGCCUACUGAAUGAGUUAAUUUGCGAGCCUAUUUAUAAAUUUGAAAAUGAGUCGAGCUUAGCAAUGCAAAGUUUAAAUUUGACUUAUUUAGAGCAUUUGCGAAUUGCUUCACCUUCUUUUGUUUGAACCAUUCAAGAUAUCCGAAUAGUUUGAAACAAGAGUCCUUGGUGUAUCCUGUAUGUUUGCAGUGGUCGCAGAACCUUUUGUCUUUCUUUCCAAUCUCCCUUCUCUUGAAUGAUGUUUUAUAACUCGUAUUCUCCCUGUUAUUGCCCUGUGUCUUAGUCAUCAUGGCCAUGGAACCAUCUGCCACAUUUGGUGUGAAGGUGUUAACUUCUCUUUAUUUUUCAACCCUCGAUACCAUGGCAUAUGCACAAUUUACUAGGAAGAACUGUUUCUAACGUGAUGAUAUGAUGAAUUUAGUCCCAUGAAGAACUGAAUCAAUAUGUGGCUUUCACAAAUUUCACUCAUCUUUUUUGCAAUACUACAAGUAAAUACAGAAAAUGGUCUGACACAAACUAAUUCAUCCCAAACUUUCUUAGGUUUAGUAAAGCAAACCAUUACAUUCAUAUUACCUUGUUAUAAUGAGUUGAUUUCUCACAAUCUGGUAGAUCUGAGGCCUAUUGCUUCCUCCAAAGCAUUGAGCCAACUCUUUCCACAAUUCAUGAAAAGUCCUGGUAUACAAAAAUGCCUCCACGAUUUCUUUGAAAAUAGAGUUUAAAAUCUAAGAAAUCACCAUACUAUCGACUUUUUGCCAUUGCUUAAAAUUAUGAGAGCCUUCCUCAAGUUUCUUGUGUUUUCCCAUGACAAAGCCAACAUUAUUCUUAGCUCGCAAUGCAAUCAGCGUCGAUCUGCUCCAAGUCAGAUAGUUUUCUCUAGUAAGUGGUACACUCACCAAUACUACUCCUGGAGAAUCAGAAUUAUGCAAAGUGAGGUGGCCCUUCUGGUUCAUAGUUGGGAUCACGUCGCUGGUACUAGCCAUGACUGUUACGGAAGCUUGAUCGUCAAGAUCUGAUACCAUGAACAGAAAGUAACAACGAUAUUUUUUUACUUUGUGUUAACUUAUAUAUACAAAAGCGGAAACUACUAGAAUGAUUUAGAGAUUUUUCUCAAUAGUACGCUAACUACUUUCAUAACUAACUACUCAUUUUCCGCUUAAAUUUCCUUUCGUAAUCUGCUGCAUGUGGAAGGCGUGACUUUUCAAUCGACCUCAGUUCAGUGUUUUCCACUUCAGCAUUUUUCAGUUUGGCACCAAUUCGGUAUUUUUCAAUUCGACAUCACCUUAGAGAAAAGACGCUAGAGCUCGUCCCCUAUGCAUUUUCUUGUACGCACUGUUUUAUUAACUCGUUGCACUGCAUUUUAUUUAUUAGUCGUUAUUCUUUCGAGUAUUUAAAUAAAAUUUAUUUUUAAAUUAGUAAUUUAAUUAUAAUAAUUAAAUAAAAUUUAAAAAUUUAUUUUUAUUUUUAUUUUUUUUCAUUUUAAGAAUAUAUAUAUAUAUAUAUAUAUAUAUAUAUAUACCUUACCCAUUAUCUAAGAAAAUAAUGAUUUUGAUAUGUGAUNNNNNNNNNNNNNNNNNNNNNNNNNNNNNNNNNNNNNNNNNNNNNNNNNNNNNNNNNNNNNNNNNNNNNNNNNNNNNNNNNNNNNNNNNNNNNNNNNNNNNNNNNNNNNNNNNNNNNNNNNNNNNNNNNNNNNNNNNNNNNNNNNNNNNNNNNNNNNNNNNNNNNNNNNNNNNNNNNNNNNNNNNNNNNNNNNNNNNNNNNNNNNNNNNNNNNNNNNNNNNNNNNNNNNNNNNNNNNNNNNNNNNNNNNNNNNNNNNNNNNNNNNNNNNNNNNNNNNNNNNNNNNNNNNNNNNNNNNNNNNNNNNNNNNNNNNNNNNNNNNNNNNNNNNNNNNNNNNNNNNNNNNNNNNNNNNNNNNNNNNNNNNNNNNNNNNNNNNNNNNNNNNNNNNNNNNNNNNNNNNNNNNNNNNNNNNNNNNNNNNNNNNNNNNNNNNNNNNNNNNNNNAAAAAAAAAAAAAAAAACUUAAUAAAUUUUUUAACUCAUGGAAAAGAUUAAACCAAAUAAGAAGCUAACAUUUGCAUGAUUUGAUUAAACAAUUCAUCUAUGUAAAGUAAUAAGAAAUUUUAAUUCAUAACAAAACAAUUUCAUAAAUAUUUAGAAAAUAUUACAUAGACUACGGAGACUAAAAAUGAGACUUUUUUAAUUCAUAAUAAAACAAUUUUUAUGAAAGUAUAGAUAAAUAGAAAUUUAAAAUAAUGUGAUUAUUUUUCAUGAUUGAAAAAAAUUGUGGUACGAGAAAAAAAAAUUAUAUAUAUAUUUCCCAAAGUAAAGCAAGAAUUUCAAAUUGUUGAUGAAGAAUUAUUCUAAUAAAAUUUUAAAAAUUAUAUUAAUAACAAUAAAAAUCAUUAAAAUUUUGAGAAUAAAAAUAUUGAGGCCUAAACCCUCUAAUAUAGCAAGUAGCUCAAAUUAUAUAGUAAUAAAUUUUUACGGAUAGUUUUAAGAUAAAUUCUUUUGAAAAAAAUAAGCAGUAUAAGUAGAACAAAAAAUUUAAAAAAAUAGUUUUUAUGUCGAUAACUUUGAAAAAAAAAUAUAUUUAUUUUAUUAAUCAUAAAUAAAAUUACUUUUUAAUUCUUAAAAAUAAAUAUAUUAUUUAUCAAUUUUUUUAAAAAUCAAUAAUUUAAUUUAUGUCAGAUUUGGAUAGUAUUAAAUUCUACUUCCUCAAUUUUUAAUCUCUAUUUUAAAGAAAUAUAAUUUUUAAAUACGGUAAAAAAUUAAUAUGAAAAUUAUAUUAUAAAUUAUUAGUUUAAUAUAAAUUAAAUUCUAUAUUUUAAAAUAAAAAAAUUAAUAAAAUCAUAAAUUAUUUUUUAUAUUUUUAAUUAAUAAUUAUAUUUUAUUUAUUACAUUAAUAUUUUUUAUGAUAUUAAAAAGUUAUUAUUAUUUAUUAAUAAUAUAAUAUUAUAUAUAUUAUUUUUAAUAAAAAAUUAAAUUAUAUAAUUUAAAAUAAAAAUAAGUGAAAUAAUGUUAUAUUUUUUAUAUAUUUUUUUUAAUUUUAUUGUUUAGAUUGUUAAAGCUUUUCUUAAUUUUUUUAAUUAGUUGUAUUAGCAACCUGUAAGCACAUUAAUAAAAAGCUUAGUAUUAAAAAUGACAAAAGCGGUGUGCAGUGCUGACAUCACACAAUUGAACGUCAUCUCUCAGUUAAGUUUCUCAAUUAAGUUAGAACAUACGGCACAGUUUCGUAUAAAAAGGUCUCAUUUCCAUGUGUAUUUAGCGUUCAUUAACGUUUCACGUAUAAUUAAUAAAAAAUUAAAUUAAAUAUUUUUAAAAUAGAGAGUAAAAUUAUAAAAAAUAAAAAUAUAUAAUUUUUAUUAAAUUAUAUUAUAAUAAUUUUAUCAUAAUAUAGCAAUAAUAUGGAUUCUAAAUAAUUGUAAAGUGUAUGAUUUUUUAACUUUUAGAUAUAAUUAAUGAAAAUUUAAAAAUAUAAAUGCAAAGUGACUAUUUUAAAGUGGACGAUAGAAUUCUAAAUAAUUGUAAAGUGUAUCAUUUUCGUAAUUAUCCUUUGAUUUUUAAAGAAGGUAUUAUUAAAAUUAGUAGUUAAAAAUUUUAGAAAUUAAUUUUCAAUUAUAUAAAUGUAUAGGAAAGAAUAUCUCCCUAUGAUAUGUAGAAAUACCAAAUAAAAAAUAUAUAUAUUUAUGUAUAUUGAGAUUGUGUAUUCAAAAAUAUUUUUCUUUUUCGUUAAGAUCGUUUAAUCUCAAAUAAUUCACGGUAUUUCUUAAAUUUAUUUAGAAACAGAAAUCGAGUUUUUCAAACUCUUUUUUGAGUAGUUGUCUUUAUAAAAACUUUCAAAUGUUGUAAAUAUGAUAAAAAAAAAAACUCUCUCCAUAAUGAUGUAUUCAAAAAUAUAAUUUGGUAAUAUGUGUAAAAAAAUUAGUGGAAAAAUUAAAAUUAGUUCUAGAAAAUUGUUUAUUGUUCAAAUACAUUAUAUCUAAAAAUGGAUAUGAUUAUGUAGAGUAAGAAAGUUGCAAAUACGAAAAAACCUUUACUGUAUUAUUGAAAAAAGUAGGGCUAAAAUGUAAGAUAGAAGGGAACUUACUUUUAUUUUAAUAAUAUUCUUUUUUAUUAAAAAAUUUAUAAUAUCAAGAAAUAUCAGCCACAGAAACCAUGCAUGCAAUUCACAAGUAGAUGAUUUAAGUUCUGCAUGGACUCUAUAUAAAGAAGCAUUACCAAGAAGCGAAAACCACACACAAGCACUUGAAAUUAUCAUGGCUAUGGCUACUAAACACUACAACUUUCUUCAGCUAUUGGGGAUGCUCGUCUUGUUCAUAACCUUGUUGGCUCUCACUAGGCCAGCAAUGGGAACUGAUGAUGAUGAUAUUCCUGACGAUUUUAGCCGUAAAUAUUUUCCGGAUGACUUCAUUUUUGGAACGGCUACUUCUGCUUACCAGGUAAAUAUAUAAUCAUUUAUGAUAUUCAGAUCGAAGGUGAAGCAACCGCAAAGGGUAGAGCACCUAGUGUUUGGGACAUAUUUUCCAAGGAGACUCCAGGUAUGUAUGUGUAUUUGUCCAUCUUUAUUGACUAUAUCUAAUUAUUUAUGUCUAAUUUUGCAGAUAGAAUAUUAGAUGGCAGCAAUGGAGACGUUGCAGUUGAUUUCUAUAACCGCUACAUAGUAUAGCAGUCAAACUUUUUAUUUUAUAUUUCCUUCCUCAAGCCCUAUGUUGAUUAUCAACAAUAAAAUUAAAUAAGCUUUGUGAAAUUGAUGUUGCAGCAAGAUAUAAAAAACGUCAAAAAGAUGGGUUUUAAUGCAUUUAGAAUGUCCAUUUCAUGGUCUAGAGUUAUACCAUGUAAGUAUUUUAUUAAAUUUUUGCUUUUAUUUAUAAAUUAAAUUUGUUAUGCAAAAUAUUUAUAAAUUUCUCUAUCUUUGUUUUUGAAACAUUAAAUAUUUAGCCGGAAGGAGACGUGAAGGAGUGAACGAGGAAGGAAUUCAAUUCUACAAUGAUGUUAUCAAUGAAAUUAUAAGCAAUGGUAAACCUUAUAUAUUUUCUUUAAGGAGAUUGAAAAUUAAAUUAAAAUUACAAAAGUAUUCCAAACUUAUCGAAGUUAAUUAAAUUACAUCAAAAUGUUUAAUUUAUUUUGUUAUAAAAUUCAGGACUAGAGCCUUUUGUUACUAUUUUUCAUUGGGAUACUCCUCAAGCACUGCAGGACAAAUAUGGUGGCUUCUUAAGCCGUGAUAUUGUGUAAGUAUAUAAUUUUAUUGUGAUUUUAAAAUAUUAAAAAUUUAGAAUUUCAUAUAAAUUUUGUUCAAAAAUAUUCUCAUCUAAGUAUUAAAAUAUCUUAUUGAAUUAUUACAUGAAAUACAGGUACGAUUAUCUUCAAUAUGCAGAUCUUCUCUUUGAAAGAUUCGGUGAUCGAGUGAAACGCUGGAUGACUUUUAAUGAACCAUCAGCAUAUGUUGGAUUUGCCCAUGAUGAUGGAGUUUUUGCCCCUGGUCGAUGCUCAUCUUGGGUGAAUCGCCAAUGCCUAGCUGGAGACUCAGCCACAGAACCUUAUAUAGUUGCCCAUAAUUUGCUUCUUUCUCAUGCUGCAGCUGUUCACCAAUAUAGAAAAUAUUAUCAGGUUUAUAUUAUAUAUAUAUUUUUCUCCUAAAAAAAUAUAUGCAAUUACAUAAAACCUUUGUAUAUUUGACUAUGUAGGGAACUCAAAAGGGCAAGAUUGGGAUUACCCUCUUUACCUUUUGGUAUGAACCUCUCUCCGACAGUAAAGUUGAUGUGCAAGCAGCCAAAACAGCCUUAGAUUUCAUGUUUGGAUUGUGAGUCUUUCUUCCAAAUUGAGCUGGUAAUUAAAUGUUUAACAUGUAUAUAAAUCUUCAAUUAAACUUUGUAUUUUUAUUCAUAAUUUCAGGUGGAUGGAUCCCAUGACUNNNNNNNNNNNNNNNNNNNNNNNNNNNNNNNNNNNNNNNNNNNNNNNNNNNNNNNNNNNNNNNNNNNNNNNNNNNNNNNNNNNNNNNNNNNNNNNNNNNNNNNNNNNNNNNNNNNNNNNNNNNNNNNNNNNNNNNNNNNNNNNNNNNNNNNNNNNNNNNNNNNNNNNNNNNNNNNNNNNNNNNNNNNNNNNNNNNNNNNNNNNNNNNNNNNNNNNNNNNNNNNNNNNNNNNNNNNNNNNNNNNNNNNNNNNNNNNNNNNNNNNNNNNNNNNNNNNNNNNNNNNNNNNNNNNNNNNNNNNNNNNNNNNNNNNNNNNNNNNNNNNNNNNNNNNNNNNNNNNNNNNNNNNNNNNNNNNNNNNNNNNNNNNNNNNNNNNNNNNNNNNNNNNNNNNNNNNNNNNNNNNNNNNNUAAAAUUCUAGCAAAGAGAAAUAUUUAUGUGAAUAAUAUUGUUGACAUACAAAUUAAAAAUUUGCAGGCUUACUCGUCAUGGUUUUACAUUUUUCCAAAAGGUAUUCGACACUUUUUGAACUAUACCAAAGAUACAUAUAAUGAUCCAGUCAUUUACGUUACUGAGAAUGGUAAGUUUUUUUUUUAAUAAAUAUUUUGUUCAUAGAAAAGUAAAUCCAGAUUAUAUUUUUGAUCUAAUUCUCAAGUUUACACUAAUUUAGGGGUUGACAACUACAAUAAUGAAUCUCAACCAAUUGAGGAGGCACUUCAAGAUGAUUUCAGGAUUUCGUACUAUAAAAAGCAUAUGUGGAAUGCACUAGGAUCUCUCAAGUGAGUCCAAACUCUAUGACCCAUACUAAUUAUUAUAGAGAUUUGGGAUAACUAUUUUUAAUUUAUUUUCAAAUGAUUAUUAAUUUUUACAGGAACUACGGUGUUAAUCUCAAAGGUUAUUUUGCAUGGUCAUAUUUAGACAACUUCGAAUGGAAUAUUGGUUAUACAUCAAGAUUUGGGUUGUACUAUGUAGACUACAAAAAUAACCUAACAAGAUAUCCCAAGAAAUCGGCUCAUUGGUUCACAAAAUUCCUGAAUAUAUCAGUUAAUGAAAAUAAUAUCUAUGAGCUUACAUCAAAGGAUUCAAGGAAGGUUGGCAAAUUCUAUGUGAUGUAGAUAAUGUCUUUACUUUUUGUGUGUCUCUUGUAAUUAAAUAAUAUCAUUGGGCUACUAUAUACCACCAAUGAUCUGGCUUAUGUUGUGAUAAA
This 24240-nucleotide long non-coding RNA is filed under the name Manihot esculenta (cassava). Its description in RNAcentral is "long non-coding RNA (MESC_LNC003790)". Lineage: Eukaryota; Viridiplantae; Streptophyta; Magnoliopsida; Malpighiales; Euphorbiaceae. The record is from RNAcentral.